Colobus angolensis palliatus is the source of this 104-nucleotide small nucleolar RNA. NCBI's taxonomy places the organism in Eukaryota, Metazoa, Chordata, Mammalia, Primates, Cercopithecidae. The record is from Ensembl.
AUCCUUUGGUAGUUCAUAAGUGUGAUGACUGGGUUUUCACUUUCAUGCGUAAGAUGUGCCUCCCUCAAACCUUGUUACAACAUUGGCACAUUACCCUUGUGAUG